AGUGAACGCUGGCGGUAGGCCUAACACAUGCAAGUCGAACGGCAGCACAGUAAGAGCUUGCUCUUACGGGUGGCGAGUGGCGGACGGGUGAGGAAUACAUCGGAAUCUACUUUUUCGUGGGGGAUAACGUAGGGAAACUUACGCUAAUACCGCAUACGACCUACGGGUGAAAGCAGGGGAUCUUCGGACCUUGCGCGAUUGAAUGAGCCGAUGUCGGAUUAGCUAGUUGGCGGGGUAAAGGCCCCCCAAGGCGACGAUCCGUAGCUGGUCUGAGAGGAUGAUCAGCCACACUGGAACUGAGACACGGUCCAGACUCCUACGGGAGGCAGCAGUGGGGAAUAUUGGACAAUGGGCGCAAGCCUGAUCCAGCCAUACCGCGUGGGUGAAGAAGGCCUUCGGGUUGUAAAGCCCUUUUGUUGGGAAAGAAAAGCAGCAGGUUAAUACCCCGCUGUUCGGACGGUACCCAAAGAAUAAGCACCGGCUAACUUCGU
Molecule: ribosomal RNA, 491 nt
Filed under: uncultured bacterium
Lineage: Bacteria
Description: partial 16S ribosomal RNA
Rfam family: Bacterial small subunit ribosomal RNA
Source: RNAcentral